This 261-nucleotide ribosomal RNA is filed under the name uncultured archaeon. RNAcentral's name for it is "partial 16S ribosomal RNA". It matches the Rfam family "Archaeal small subunit ribosomal RNA", at positions 748 to 1009 of the family's 1478-position model. The record is from RNAcentral.
CAGCCGUAAACUAUGCUCGCUAGGUGUCAGGCAUGGCGCGACCGUGUCUGGUGCCGCAGGGAAGCCGUGAAGCGAGCCACCUGGGAAGUACGGCCGCAAGGCUGAGACUUAAAGGAAUUGGCGGGGGAGCACAACAACGGGUGGAGCCUGCGGUUUAAUUGGACUCAACGCCGGAAAUCUCACCGGAUAAGACAGCAGAAUGAUUGCCGGGCUGAAGACUCUGCAUGACUAGCUGAGAGGUGGUGCAUGGCGUAGACGUCU